GGGCGGCCCAGCGGGGGGCCUCUGGCCCUGGUUCCUCUUGUCCAGCCCAUUAGCAUCCGGGUCCAGUGUCCUUCUUCUCAGAACCAAUUUCUCCUGUAGUCUCUGUCCUUAUAGAAAUGCCAGUUUCUCUUUUUCCUUCUUCUUUUUUUUUAAAUUUUUUUAAUGGCCAUGGCAUGCAGCGCCUGGCUGUGGGAUCUCAGUUCCCAGAGCAGGGAUCGAACCCGGGCGGUGGUGGUGAGAGCACCAUGGCCUCACCACUCGACCCCCAGGGAACUCCCUAGAAUCGCCGGUUUCACUGCUAAGCCGGAGCCUUAGGUGUGGGAAGCUCACUCGUCGCGAGUGUGAGCCCUGACUUCAUCUGCCCCCGGCUGGACGGCGCCCCGUGGGCGACAUUGCUGCGGUGACAAGAUGCCGCCAUGAGCAUUGCCAUGGCAAGGUCUGACUCUGAGCGUGACGUCAGCACCCGUUGCUUAGUGCUCUCCUUGGCCACCGCUUGAUGUCGGUUUGGUCUGGUUUGGUCUCAGCCUCUCUGGCCCUGGAAUCUUCAAAAGUAGAGCAGCCAAGAUCAAAGGCUUCCGUGUCUAAAUCAUGGCAUUGUGAUUCUUCUAGUCGAGGGCUUCUUCUAGCCGAGGGAGGGGUAUUCAGGUGUUUCAAAGCUUCUAUUUUAUUGUGCAAUAAAACACAGACACAGGAAACAAA
Sus scrofa (pig) is the source of this 699-nucleotide non-coding RNA. Lineage: Eukaryota; Metazoa; Chordata; Mammalia; Artiodactyla; Suidae. The record is from RefSeq and is a predicted model, not a curated record.